UGGUGUGUCGCCAAAUAGGUAAGGCACUGGCUUUUGAUGCUAUCAUGUUAUAGGUUCGAGUCCUAUCACACCAG
This 74-nucleotide transfer RNA is filed under the name Kumanoa mahlacensis. RNAcentral's name for it is "tRNA-Gln". It matches the Rfam family "tRNA". From Rfam's summary of the family: Transfer RNA (tRNA) molecules are approximately 80 nucleotides in length. Their secondary structure includes four short double-helical elements and three loops (D, anti-codon, and T loops). The record is from RNAcentral. Lineage: Eukaryota; Rhodophyta; Florideophyceae; Batrachospermales; Batrachospermaceae.